AUUCCAGCUCCAAUAGCGUAUAUUAAAGUUGUUGCGGUUAAAAAGCUCGUAGUUGGAUUUCUGCCGAGGACGACCGGUCUGCCCACUGGGUGUGUAUCUGGCUCGGCCUGGGCAUCUUCUUGGAGAACGUAUCUGCACUUGACUGUGUGGUGCGGUAUCCAGGACCUUUACUUUGAGGAAAUUAGAGUGUUUCAAGCAGGCACACGCCUUGAAUACAUUAGCAUGGAAUAAUAAGAUAGGACCUCGGUUCUAUUUUGUUGGUUUCUAGAACUGUGGUAAUGAUUAAGAGGGACAGUUGGGGGCAUUAGUAUUUUGUUGUCAGAGGUGAAAUUCUUGGAUUUACGAAAGACUAACAACUGCGAAAGCAUUUGCCAAGAAUGUUUUCAUUG
This 389-nucleotide ribosomal RNA is filed under the name Thoracosphaeraceae sp. RNAcentral describes it as "partial small subunit ribosomal RNA". It matches the Rfam family "Eukaryotic small subunit ribosomal RNA", at positions 582 to 975 of the family's 1831-position model. Lineage: Eukaryota; Dinophyceae; Thoracosphaerales; Thoracosphaeraceae. The record is from RNAcentral.